GAGGGUGUAGCUCAGUGGUAGAGCACGUGCUUAGCAUGCACGAGGUCCUGGGCUCAAUCCCCAGUGCCUCUG
This 72-nucleotide transfer RNA is filed under the name Camelus bactrianus (Bactrian camel). It matches the Rfam family "tRNA". From Rfam's summary of the family: Transfer RNA (tRNA) molecules are approximately 80 nucleotides in length. Their secondary structure includes four short double-helical elements and three loops (D, anti-codon, and T loops). RNAcentral also lists the same sequence under 2 other names. Lineage: Eukaryota; Metazoa; Chordata; Mammalia; Artiodactyla; Camelidae. The record is from Rfam by way of RNAcentral.